Molecule: ribosomal RNA, 253 nt
Filed under: uncultured bacterium
Lineage: Bacteria
Description: partial 16S ribosomal RNA
Rfam family: Bacterial small subunit ribosomal RNA
Source: RNAcentral
UACGUAGGUGGCAAGCGUUAUCCGGAAUUAUUGGGCGUAAAGCGCGCGCAGGCGGUUUCUUAAGUCUGAUGUGAAAGCCCACGGCUCAACCGUGGAGGGUCAUUGGAAACUGGGGUACUUGAAUGCAGAAGAGAAAAGCGGAAUUCCACGUGUAGCGGUGAAAUGCGUAGAGAUGUGGAGGAACACCAGUGGCGAAGGCGGCUUUUUGGUCUGUAACUGACGCUGAGGCGCGAAAGCGUGGGGAGCAAACAGG